Molecule: long non-coding RNA, 665 nt
Organism: Plutella xylostella (diamondback moth)
Lineage: Eukaryota; Metazoa; Arthropoda; Insecta; Lepidoptera; Plutellidae
Source: RefSeq, a predicted model, not a curated record
GACAACAUCCCACACACCAUAGGCUAGGAAUCGAUAGGACAGCACAAUGGGGCGAGACUCGAGUUGGCAAAAUGCCGCAAAAAUCUUUCAGUGACUUCUUAGAUUCAUACGGGCUCAGCCAUGACGGCCUACGAAACGCUUUUUUACUAUUUUGGGCUAUAUUUCCUCUUCAUGUUGGCAUUCUUUGUAAUCCUGUGCCUGUUCUGCCUGGUGUGCAUGGUGUGGUACCAGCGGCGCCACCCCGAGGAGGCGCUGACAUCCACCACGGACUACCACUGCAAGGAAGACACGCCCAUACGGAGACCCUGCCAGGACUUCUAGUAGGGAUGACUUGCUGAUACCGAAUUGAACCGUUUAAAGUAUUUCUACAUUAAACACCAAGGCCCUGUUUCACAAUGUCUGGAUGCUACUUGUGCGGUAAAAGACGUGCUGUCACUCGUGAUUGUGUUUUCAACAGUGAUAGCAUGUCUAUUAUCCCACAGGGCAUGGUGAUUAUACAGAUAUUGUGAAACGGGCCCUCAAAAGAACAGAGAUUUGGUUUAUUCACCCGAUAUAAAUUUAUUUAUUAAUGGUGAUGGGUGUCCGCAAAUUAUUCUUCUACUCUGUAUACGCCUUCAAAAUGUACAUAAUAUUAUCUUGUUAUAAUAAAAUAUAUUAAUGAUUGA